CUCAAAUGAAUUGACGGGGGCCCGCACAAGCGGUGGAGCAUGUGGUUUAAUUCGAUGCAACGCGAAGAACCUUACCUACUCUUGACAUCCAGAGAAUCUAGCGGAGACGCUGGAGUGCCUUCGGGAGCUCUGAGACAGGUGCUGCAUGGCUGUCGUCAGCUCGUGUUGUGAAAUGUUGGGUUAAGUCCCGCAACGAGCGCAACCCUUAUCCUUGUUUGCCAGCACGUAAUGGUGGGAACUCCAGGGAGACUGCCGGUGAUAAACCGGAGGAAGGUGGGGACGACGUCAAGUCAUCAUGGCCCUUACGAGUAGGGCUACACACGUGCUACAAUGGCGUAUACAGAGGGCAGCGAUACCGCGAGGUGGAGC
This 369-nucleotide ribosomal RNA is filed under the name Vibrio cholerae. RNAcentral describes it as "bacterial SSU rRNA". It matches the Rfam family "Bacterial small subunit ribosomal RNA", at positions 900 to 1268 of the family's 1533-position model. Lineage: Bacteria; Pseudomonadati; Pseudomonadota; Gammaproteobacteria; Vibrionales; Vibrionaceae. The record is from RNAcentral.